This 77-nucleotide transfer RNA is filed under the name Gammaproteobacteria bacterium. RNAcentral describes it as "tRNA-Pro". It matches the Rfam family "tRNA". From Rfam's summary of the family: Transfer RNA (tRNA) molecules are approximately 80 nucleotides in length. Their secondary structure includes four short double-helical elements and three loops (D, anti-codon, and T loops). Lineage: Bacteria; Pseudomonadati; Pseudomonadota; Gammaproteobacteria. The record is from RNAcentral.
CGGGGUGUAGCUCAGUCUGGCAGAGCACUGUCUUCGGGAGGCAGGGGUCGUGAGUUCAAAUCUCACCAUCCCGACCA